CACUCCUGCCUCAGGCCUCAGCCACCACAGUAAGUGGAACUCUAUACCUCCACCUCGCCUGGCUGGGUGGAGCCUCUAAACUCAGGAUUCUGCCUUGAGCUGUGGCUCUCCCCUCAGGUUGACAGGGUCCAGAGCAAAACCUACGGAAGAAGCUGCAGAGGCCAGGUGGAGGGAAGGAUGCUGAACUGGAGGAGGCCAGGAAAUUAUGAGGUGAUUCUAAGCACAUUAAAAUCUGGAUGACACUUAUCUGAAUCAUUUCGCAACUUGGAGAGAGAUGGAGAAGACACGCAUGGUGUAACUGGGCAUCACCAGAAUGUGCACUGCCAUCUGUGGCUGUCUUCCUGCUGGCAAAUCCUUUUCAUUCCAAGCAAAUAAGAUUCCCUAAAUUAGACAAAAAGGAAGAAACACAACAGAGUCCAUAAUUCUGAGAGGAAGAGAAGAGUGAUCAUCAGCAGCAAAAGGCAAUUGCAGAGAAGCACCACCAAGAGCCAGCUUCAUGCUCAGGAGUGAAUGCUGAGCCGCCUCCUCGUGGUUUCCGGUGCUCCACAUGUUCAGAGAAACUUCUCUGCUCAAAUGUUGCCUUUUCCAAAACCACCCAUGGGCCUGCCCCCUGACAUCCUGUGCCUAUAAAAACCCCAUACUCAGCUGGCAGAGAGAAGAGAAGCAGCUGGACGUUGGUGACUAUGGUUAGACAUUGGAGAGAAGCAGCUUCACUUCAGAGGGACAGCUUGACACGUAACAUCAGAGAAGAAUCUGGCCAGAGAUGGCUGGACUUCAGGAGAAGAUUACCUUCCCUCUCCAUCCCCUUUUCAACUUCCCUUCCUGCUGAGAGCCACUUUCAUCGGCAAUAAAAAUCCCCUACAUUUGUCAUCCUUCAA
Homo sapiens (human) is the source of this 878-nucleotide long non-coding RNA. The record is from Ensembl. NCBI's taxonomy places the organism in Eukaryota, Metazoa, Chordata, Mammalia, Primates, Hominidae.